CCCUGUUUUAUUCAUCUGUUUAACCUCUUCCUGUCCCAGCUCCCCCCCUUAGCCUAUAAAAGGUGUGAUCAUUUUCUGAAUAAACCAAAGGCUUGAUUGGAUUAUCUCGACUUGCCUUCAUCUCUUUUGUCUCCCCCAUGUCUUUUAUUUAAUCCCCGUUCCCCCUCCAGGAGUUCUAGAUAUGUUGAUCUGCAGGCUGGAUCAACUGGCACCCAGCGUGGGAGCUCCUGGCACAGAGGAGUUAACGAGGAAGCCGUUUGAGAGACAGCCGGCUUAAACUGAAAAUGAAAGCAAAUUGAACAGGAGACCUUGGCCGAGGAGUGAGUAAACUGAAUCAAGGAUUAAAGCUUAAAGCUUCAGGACAUUAAAUUAAGUACCGAGACCUGCACAGAUGACUACCCAACGUCCUGCCCAAGUCAUGGUGACACAUCUCCCUGGAGCCUUAUGCUGCUUAGUCAGCCUUCUUGAGCCACACCACACCCAUGAUGAAUUUUGACCCCUGCCAAACAGACUACAACUGCUGACAGCCAUGUACAGAACCCCAUGACUGUGGAAGAGGCUCCUCUUGGUCUGGAGGAACAUACACCACCCAAAUAGACUGCAUCCAGUGUUAUGCAAGGCAUGCUCCAAGACAUAGGAGAAUGACUUCAUACAGAGACUCCAACAAAUGGCUGUCAACCCCUUCUCCUUGAUUUGGGGGGGGGAGUUUUUCCCUUACCUAGUGCCCCUUUUGGGUCCACUAGCUGCCCUAUUGCUUCUCAUUUCUGUGAAUCCUUGUAUUUUUCAGAGGAUUAUGAUGUUCAUUAAUAACCGGAUAGACGCAUUUAUGGCAAAGCCCAUUCAGGUACACUAUCAUCCAGCUGAUAGUGUACCUGAAUGGGUACACUAUCAUCAGCUGGAGAUGGCAGAUCAACAAACCUACCAGGAAGGAAUUCCCAUAGUGGCCCAUAUGAUGAUGCGGCCUAACUUCCCUGGGGCAAUGGACAGGCAGUCAGAGACGGGCAACUAGGACAUGCAUGUUAAUUCCAAUGGCCACCUAAGACAGGCACAGGACCACCUGCUGUUCUGCAAGCCCAUGACAGGUAAGGCCUGGUUGGGUUCAUGCAAUGAGGUCCUUGACCUAAGACAGAUGCUGUCCUCACAGGGCCUGCCAUACUCUUAAUUAAAUAAUAUAAAAAGGGAGGAGAUGUAGGGAGCUGAGUGACAGGCAUUGCUGCCUCCAUGCCUCUCUCUAUGGGCACUGCGUCUGCCUACAUUAACCAUAAUCCUCUCCUGUUUACGUCAUGUAUCCGGAUGUGACGGUGACCCUGUUGUAUUAAACUGUUUAACCUCUUCCUGUCCCAGCUCCCACCCUUAGCCUAUAAAAGGUGUGAUCAUUUUCUGAAUAAACCAAAGGCUUGAUUGGA
This is a long non-coding RNA of Cavia porcellus (domestic guinea pig), 1406 nucleotides long. RefSeq lists it as uncharacterized. The transcript is spliced from 2 exons. The record is from RefSeq and is a predicted model, not a curated record. NCBI's taxonomy places the organism in Eukaryota, Metazoa, Chordata, Mammalia, Rodentia, Caviidae.